AAGUCGUAACAAGGCACCUGCGGAAGGAUCAUUAACACGUAUCCAACGUUAAAACAACCCCCGUGAACUUUCAGCUUGCUCCUGUAGCCCGUGAAAACAGCAAUCCCUGGUAAAUCAUUGUUCACCAGCUUUUGAGUCAGAGACCUCUGCCGAGUGUGAUAUUUUAUAGCUACGGUUGAGCGAUUGCAUCUAGUGACUGAAAGUGUCAUUGAUUAUGUAAGGAUGGCGCAGUCACGAUCGCUGUAGGCCCACACGGCCGGCGACCGGGUCACCGGGCUCUGCCCCUUUACGACAACACAGUACGAAUUGGCCGCGCGUGAAAUUCGCACGGCACCAAAAACCGAACAAUGGAUAUCUUGGUUCUC
RNAcentral lists this unclassified non-coding RNA (365 nucleotides) under fungal sp. RNAcentral describes it as "partial internal transcribed spacer region". The record is from RNAcentral. Lineage: Eukaryota; Fungi.